UACGGAAGGCAGCAGUGGGGAAUAUUGCACAAUGGGCGCAAGCCUGAUGCAGCCAUGCCGCGUGUAUGAAGAAGGCCUUCGGGUUGUAAAGUACUUUCAGUCGUGAGGAAGGUGUUAAGGUUAAUAACCUUAGCAAUUGACGUUAGCGACAGAAGAAGCACCGGCUAACUCCGUGCCAGCAGCCGCGGUAAUACGGAGGGUGCGAGCGUUAAUCGGAAUUACUGGGCGUAAAGGGCACGCAGGCGGUUAAUUAAGUUGGAUGUGAAAUCCCCGGGCUUAACCUGGGAAUGGCAUUCAAGCUGGUUAGCUAGAGUCUUGUAGAGGGGGUUAGAAUUCCAUGUGUAGCGGUGAAAUGCGUAGAGAUGUGGAGGAAUACCGGUGGCGAAGGCGGCCCCUGGACAAAGACUGACGCUCAUGUGCGAAAGCGUGGGGAGCAAACG
This 440-nucleotide ribosomal RNA is filed under the name uncultured bacterium. RNAcentral's name for it is "bacterial SSU rRNA". It matches the Rfam family "Bacterial small subunit ribosomal RNA", at positions 340 to 774 of the family's 1533-position model. The record is from RNAcentral.